RNAcentral lists this long non-coding RNA (662 nucleotides) under Vigna radiata. RNAcentral's name for it is "long non-coding RNA (VRAD_LNC015318)". The record is from RNAcentral. Lineage: Eukaryota; Viridiplantae; Streptophyta; Magnoliopsida; Fabales; Fabaceae.
CGGAUGAUGUGAAUCAUAGUGGACAGCGUGAUGCAGAGAUAGCAAGCAGUGAAUGAAGAUGGCUUCACGGAGGCUAUUGGCGAAGGCAAAGUUUUUGGUAGAGAGAAUACUAGCUCAGGAGGCCUUCCAUUGGAAGGAAGCUAGUUGGAGAAAUGGAAGAAACUCAAUGGAGGACUUUUGGUAGAGAUUUCAAGUUGUUGGAAUUAUCAUCAGCAGAAGAGAAAACUCAUAGUAUUUCCAAAAGUGUAUUACAAUGAGUGCAACCAUGGAUUUAUAGAUGUAUCCAUGAUUCUGCAACGUGAUCUAAAUGCCCAUGAUAAGUGGAUCUGAUGCCACGUGUACAACGCAAAGAAAAUGUGAAUAAAUUAUAGAAGAGGCACGACUGCCAUGUGUUGAAAGGCUGAAAGGUGUGGACAACAAAGAUAUGGGGUGCAGCUAGCAGCUUGGGGCUUCACUUGGACAGUUUUACCCCUUGUCUUGGGUCUCUAGAUUCCAUUCAAAAUGAAGGAGAAGGAUUUGUCCUUCUUCUUGGGUUGGUUUGAUGGACUAUUUAUUGGGCUUGGGCCCCGCGUAUCAUCCGCUCCCUCUUGGAAAGGAUUUGUCCUCAAAUCUGGUGGGUCGUCUUUAUGAGGACUUAUUUGUGUUGACUUCACAAGAAUUCC